ACGUCAUUAGCUCAAUUGGUAGAGUGUCAGACUCCAAAUCUGAAGGAUCAGCGUUCGAAUCGCUGGUGGCGUCCCA
RNAcentral lists this transfer RNA (76 nucleotides) under Nanobdellota archaeon. RNAcentral describes it as "tRNA-Trp". It matches the Rfam family "tRNA". Rfam says of the family: Transfer RNA (tRNA) molecules are approximately 80 nucleotides in length. The record is from RNAcentral. Lineage: Archaea; Nanobdellati; Nanobdellota.